RNAcentral lists this ribosomal RNA (305 nucleotides) under uncultured bacterium. RNAcentral's name for it is "bacterial SSU rRNA". It matches the Rfam family "Bacterial small subunit ribosomal RNA", at positions 337 to 659 of the family's 1533-position model. The record is from RNAcentral.
UCCUAUGGGGGGCAGCAGUGGGGAAUAUUGCACAAUGGGGGAAACCCUGAUGCAGCAACGCCGCGUGAGUGAAGAAGGUUUUCGGAUUGUAAAGCUCUGUUAGCAGGGAAGAGGAAGGACGGUACCUGCAGAGGAAGCCACGGCUAACUACGUGCCAGCAGCCGCGGUAAUACGGAGGAUGCGAGCGUUAUCCGGAUUUAUUGGGUUUAAAGGGUGCGUAGGCGGUCUGUUAAGUCAGCGGUAAAAUUGCGGGGCUCAACCCCGUCGAGCCGUUGAAACUGGCAGACUUGAGUUGGCGAGAAGGA